CGGGUGAGUAACACGUGGGUGAUCUGCCUCGCACUCUGGGAUAAGCCUGGGAAACUGGGUCUAAUACCGGAUAUGACCUUACAUCGCAUGGUGUUUGGUGGAAAGAUUUAUCGGUGCGAGAUGGGCCCGCGGCCUAUCAGCUUGUUGGUGGGGUAAUGGCCUACCAAGGCGACGACGGGUAGCCGGCCUGAGAGGGCGACCGGCCACACUGGGACUGAGACACGGCCCAGACUCCUACGGGAGGCAGCAGUGGGGAAUAUUGCACAAUGGGCGAAAGCCUGAUGCAGCGACGCCGCGUGAGGGAUGACGGCCUUCGGGUUGUAAACCUCUUUCGACAGGGACGAAGCGCAAGUGACGGUACCUGUAGAAGAAGCACCGGCCAACUACGUGCCAGCAGCCGCGGUAAUACGUAGGGUGCGAGCGUUGUCCGGAAUUACUGGGCGUAAAGAGCUUGUAGGCGGCUUGUCGCGUCGAUCGUGAAAACUUGGGGCUCAACCCCAAGCUUGCGGUCGAUACGGGCAGGCUUGAGUACUUCAGGGGAGACUGGAAUUCCUGGUGUAGCGGUGAAAUGCGCAGAUAUCAGGAGGAACACCGGUGGCGAAGGCGGGUCUCUGGGAAGUAACUGACGCUGAGAAGCGAAAGCGUGGGUAGCGAACAGGAUUAGAUACCCUGGUAGUCCA
RNAcentral lists this ribosomal RNA (680 nucleotides) under Nocardia cyriacigeorgica. RNAcentral's name for it is "bacterial SSU rRNA". It matches the Rfam family "Bacterial small subunit ribosomal RNA", at positions 103 to 797 of the family's 1533-position model. Lineage: Bacteria; Bacillati; Actinomycetota; Actinomycetes; Mycobacteriales; Nocardiaceae. The record is from RNAcentral.